GCGGUGGAUGGAAAAGGCGAGAGCAGGGAAGGAGCUAGGGCUAAAUAGGGACUCGAUUAGGGCGUGAUUCACGCAAAAUCCCAAGAAAUCAGGUUGGGUUCGCUCCCGGUCAUGUCCGGCUCGCUCACGGCGAGAGGAAGGAGGAGAGGGAAAGGAAGCCGCUGACCUGUGGGACCAACGCAUCAGUGAGAGAGAGACCGGGGCCGACUCGUCAUACACAGAGAAGGAAGGGGGAAAGAGAGAGGGCGUGGGGGUCGCUUCAGCUUGGAUGGUUGCGUGCGUGAUGGGCCGUGGGUUCGGCCGCGUAGAGAAAGGGCAGGGGAAGGCCGAGAGGAGAGGGGAGGAGUGGGCCUUCGGGCCAGAAUCAGGUGGGGAGAGUUUCUAUUUUUAUUUUUUAAAAUUUUGUUUGUUGGUUUCUUUUAAUUUUCAAGGUCUUUUCAAAACAGUU
RNAcentral lists this long non-coding RNA (448 nucleotides) under Sorghum bicolor (sorghum). RNAcentral's name for it is "long non-coding RNA (SBIC_LNC006930)". Lineage: Eukaryota; Viridiplantae; Streptophyta; Magnoliopsida; Poales; Poaceae. The record is from RNAcentral.